AUUGAACGCUGGCGGCAGGCCUUACACAUGCAAGUCGAACGGCAGCACAGUAAGAUCUCGCUUUUACGGGUGGCGAGGGCCGGUCGAGUGAUGCAUACCUUCCUGUCUACUAUUUCGUGGGGGAUAUCGCAAGGACUCCUACACCAAUACCGCAUACUUCCUACGGGUGUAAUCAUGGUAACUUCCGUCCUUUCCCGGAACGUUGAUCCUACGUCGGAUUAGUUAGUUGUCGGGUUAAGUGCCUACCAAGGCGACCAUCCGUAGCUGGUCUGAGAGGAUGUGCAGCCACACGGGUACUGAGACGCGGUCCAGACUCCGACGGAAGGCAGCAGUGGGGAAUUUUGGACAAUGGGCGCAAGUCUAAUCCAGCCAUGCCGCGUGGGAGACGAAGGCCGUCGGGUUGUAAAGCACUUUUGUUCAGAAAGAAAAGCUUCAGGUUAAUACCCGGAUAUCCUGACGGUACCCAAAGAAUAAGCACCGGCUAACUACGUG
Molecule: ribosomal RNA, 492 nt
Filed under: uncultured bacterium
Lineage: Bacteria
Description: partial 16S ribosomal RNA
Rfam family: Bacterial small subunit ribosomal RNA
Source: RNAcentral